GUUUAUUCAGAUAGCCAUGCACGUCUAAGUACAAACUAAAUGAUGGUGAAACUGCAAAUGGCUCAUUACAACGGUUAUGAUGUACCCGGGAGUUCCGAUGGAUAUUUCCAGUAACACUAGAACUAAUACAUGUCCCUGCGUUUAUUAGUUUCGCACAGUCCGUCGCUGAGUCAUGGUAAACAGUUGAUCGACUCGACGUCCCGGAACAGUUUCCGCCCCAUCAGCUUCGAUGGUUGGGUAUUGGCCUACCAUUGCAACAACGGGUAACGAGGAAUUAGGGUUUGAUUUCGGAGAGGGAGCCUGAGAAACGGCUACCACAUCUACGGAUGGCAGCAGGCGCGCAAAUUACCCAAUGCAGACACUGUGAGGUAGUGACGAGAAAUAAUAAAGCGGGACUUCUGUUUCGCUAUUAUAAUGAGGAAUAACCAAAGGUCAUUCCGAUUAGCAACUGAUGGGAAAGUCUGGUGCCAGCAGCCGCGGUAAUACCAGCGUCAGUAGCA
Molecule: ribosomal RNA, 500 nt
Filed under: uncultured Myrionecta
Lineage: Eukaryota; Ciliophora; Litostomatea; Cyclotrichida; Mesodiniidae
Description: SSU rRNA
Rfam family: Eukaryotic small subunit ribosomal RNA
Source: RNAcentral